CUAUAGUUUUUUUUUAAUAUAAUUUUGGGACUCACAAUCCCAUUUUUAUAUUAUUUUUCUCUCUUCCUCUCACGUUGCUCGGCGUUUUCUCGCAAGGGGGAUUAUUUUCUUUUUCUUCAGAUUAUAUUGACAAAGAUAGUGGUGAAAAAGGAGUUGUGAAGGGGAACUUGUUAUUCAAGACACAAGGAGCGAGUCCGGCCGAGAAAGCACCAGAGGUGUAACUGUGGUGUAUGAGACACCAUCUUUUACGCUGCCUCUUAUUUUAGAUUAUACAAUGUAUCUUGUGCCAACUUAGGAC
Prosopis cineraria is the source of this 298-nucleotide long non-coding RNA. RefSeq lists it as uncharacterized. The record is from RefSeq and is a predicted model, not a curated record. NCBI's taxonomy places the organism in Eukaryota, Viridiplantae, Streptophyta, Magnoliopsida, Fabales, Fabaceae. The transcript has 3 exons.